GAUGAACGCUAGCGGCAGGCUUAACACAUGCAAGUCGAGGGGCAGCAUGAGACGGAGAUUCGUCAAAGUCUUGAUGGCGACCGGCGCAAGGGUGCGUAACGCGUGAGCAACUUGCCCGUUUCUGGGGAAUAACCGGUGGAAACGCCGACUAAUACCCCAUAGUAUGCUUUUAAGGCAUCUUUUAAGCAUUAAAGAAUUUCGGAAACGGAUAGGCUCGCGUGACAUUAGCUAGAUGGCGGGGUAACGGCCCACCAUGGCGACGAUGUCUAGGGGUUCUGAGAGGAAGGUCCCCCACACUGGAACUGAGACACGGUCCAGACUCCUACGGGAGGCAGCAGUGAGGAAUAUUGGUCAAUGGUCUGACGACUGAACCAGCCAUGCCGCGUGAAGGUGACGGCCCUAUGGGUCUUAAACUUCUUUUGUUAGGGAGCAAUAAGGUGUACGUGUACAUCGAUGAGAGUACCUAACGAAUAAGCAUCGGCUAACUCCGUG
This 492-nucleotide ribosomal RNA is filed under the name uncultured bacterium. Its description in RNAcentral is "bacterial SSU rRNA". It matches the Rfam family "Bacterial small subunit ribosomal RNA", at positions 28 to 507 of the family's 1533-position model. The record is from RNAcentral.